UAUUCUGGAGAAUUAUAAGUGGCCUGCCAUGU
RNAcentral lists this non-coding RNA (32 nucleotides) under Mus musculus (house mouse). Lineage: Eukaryota; Metazoa; Chordata; Mammalia; Rodentia; Muridae. The record is from RNAcentral.